RNAcentral lists this long non-coding RNA (384 nucleotides) under Cyanistes caeruleus (blue tit). RNAcentral's name for it is "lncRNA (ENSCCEG00000008175.1)". The record is from RNAcentral. Lineage: Eukaryota; Metazoa; Chordata; Aves; Passeriformes; Paridae.
CUGGAAAACCUGAUCUGCUGCUGGGGCUGGGGCAGACCUGCUUUGUGCAUUUCCCUGCCCAUAUUCAGCCCCAUCCCAUCGCUCUGUCCCUGCCUGAGGAAGAGCUAGGCUGCACUGCUGCUCAAGGCCUGGACUACCCUGCUUGGUUGAGGGCAACAAUUUUUGAUGCACAACAACAGGAAGAGUCCAGAAUAAACACAUUAAGUAUCUUAAAUUUGCAACUCAAGUUUGUUUGGGGUCACUGGAUGAUAGGCAAGGGCACAGACAAUAAAGCAAUAUGCUGGAACCAGUCUUCACACACUGGAAAGCAAACAGGAAAUACAUCUGGAAACAGGGGCUGAGCCCUCGGCCCGCAGCAUCUGUGCUCUUGCGGACCAGGCACAC